RNA transcript from Acromyrmex echinatior (Panamanian leafcutter ant), 1235 nucleotides. RefSeq lists it as uncharacterized. Lineage: Eukaryota; Metazoa; Arthropoda; Insecta; Hymenoptera; Formicidae. The record is from RefSeq and is a predicted model, not a curated record.
CGGCAAAGUUAUAAUGAUGGUUAUGAAGUGCGUGAAACGCCAUUUUGUUAUUCUCGAUCAUUCUUGGGAUCUUGACUUGGUCAGUCUAGCGAAAACAAAUGGUGUGAACAGUAUUGGUUCGUGCUGAUUAACAAUGUUCGUUGUGUAAUUAAUCUUGGUGGUAUCAAAUCCAGAUGCUAUUAAUCAAAGAAGUUAUUUAAUUAAUUUUGAAUAACUCAAAAAUGGUUCAAGAAAAUUCGAACGAGAGCAACGAAGACCAUGCAAUGGAUUACGACGCAGACGAGUCGGCACAAAUUCAAAAGAAAAUCGAGAAGAAAGGUAAAAACGUUAAAAGAGGAAUAAUCUAUCUGUCCACAAUUCCGAAAUAUAUGAACAUCACGAUGAUCCGAGAGAUAUUUUCUGCUUAUGGGAAAGUGGGCAGAGUAUAUCUGCAGCUAGUCGACAAUGAGACACAAUCAGUGAAACAUAAAAAGAAAACCAAGAAAGUAAUCAAGCAUUUUACUGAAGGUUGGAUAGAAUUUGAAAGUAAAAAAGUAGCAAAAUUUGUAGCAGAGACGUUAAACAAUACUCAAGUGUCCACGAGAAAGAAAAGCAAAUUCUAUGAUGUUAUGUGGAAUAUAAAGUAUUUGCCUAGAUUUAAAUGGAUUCAUUUGAGUGAACGAUUAGCAUAUGAACGUGCAGUUCAUAAGCAAAGACUUCUAACAGAGAUAGCGCAAGCUAAGAGAGAAAUUAACUUCUUCUCAUAUAAUGUAGACAGAAGUAAAAAACUGCGUAGAAAGCAUGAACAAGGGGAGGAGACGACAUUUGAAUUGCCUGAAGUUAAGCAAAGGGAUACUGAUAAUGAAAUAAGGAAUAGGAAAGCAAAUACCCAAGUAGAAGACAGAACAGAGUUCCUUAAAUCAAUAUUUGGAUAAAAAUUUUUUUAAUUUUAUAAUUUACACUUGUGUCUCUUCUCGGAAGAUCAACAACCUCUCGAAAGUAUCCUUGUCCACAGAAACGUCUCUCGAAAAACUGCCAUUUGGUAUUAAAACUAAAAUCAUAUAGAAGAAAAUUACGGAAAUAACAUUCAGUAAGCAAAAAAUGUUUACAAAAGAGGCAGGUAUAGUUCACCAUUGAAGAAUUCAAGAUAUCAUUAUAAGAAAUUGUAUUAAAUGAAGCGGUUGUAAGCCAACAGCGAUAUCCACGGCAUUGAUGUUAUCUACAACAAAUAUAAACGUAAUUAAAAUAGGAGGUAA